UACAGGGGGGGCAAGCGUUGUUCGGAAUUACUGGGCGUAAAGGGUUCGUAGGUGGCCAACUUAGUCAGACGUGAAAUCCCUCAGCUUAACUGGGGAACUGCGUCUGAUACUGGAUGGCUCGAGUGCAGGAGAGGAACGCGGAAUUCCAGGUGUAGCGGUGAAAUGCGUAGAUAUCUGGAGGAACACCGGUGGCGAAGGCGGCGUUCUGGACUGCAACUGACACUGAGGAACGAAAGCCAGGGGAGCAAACGGG
Molecule: ribosomal RNA, 253 nt
Filed under: uncultured bacterium
Lineage: Bacteria
Description: partial 16S ribosomal RNA
Rfam family: Bacterial small subunit ribosomal RNA
Source: RNAcentral